GAGGGUAUAGCUCAGCGGUAGAGCAUGUGCUUGGCGUGUGUAAGGUCCUGGGUUCAAUCUCCAGUGCCUCCG
This 72-nucleotide transfer RNA is filed under the name Camelus bactrianus (Bactrian camel). It matches the Rfam family "tRNA". From Rfam's summary of the family: Transfer RNA (tRNA) molecules are approximately 80 nucleotides in length. Their secondary structure includes four short double-helical elements and three loops (D, anti-codon, and T loops). Further hydrogen bonds mediate the characteristic L-shaped molecular structure. tRNAs have two regions of fundamental functional importance: the anti-codon, which is responsible for specific mRNA codon recognition, and the 3' end, to which the tRNAs corresponding amino acid is attached (by aminoacyl-tRNA synthetases). tRNAs cope with the degeneracy of the genetic code in two manners: having more than one tRNA (with a specific anti-codon) for a particular amino acid; and 'wobble' base-pairing, i.e. permitting non-standard base-pairing at the 3rd anti-codon position. RNAcentral also lists the same sequence under 2 other names. Lineage: Eukaryota; Metazoa; Chordata; Mammalia; Artiodactyla; Camelidae. The record is from Rfam by way of RNAcentral.